Molecule: ribosomal RNA, 433 nt
Filed under: uncultured bacterium
Lineage: Bacteria
Description: partial 16S ribosomal RNA
Rfam family: Bacterial small subunit ribosomal RNA
Source: RNAcentral
AACGAACGCUGGCGGCAUGCCUAACACAUGCAAGUCGAACGAGACCUUCGGGUCUAGUGGCGCACGGGUGCGUAACGCGUGGGAAUCUACCCUCAGGUUCGGAAUAACUCAGAGAAAUUUGAGCUAAUACCGGAUGAUGACGUAAGUCCAAAGAUUUAUCGCCUGAGGAUGAGCCCGCUUAGGAUUAGGUAGUUGGUGAGGUAAAGGCUCACCAAGCCGACGAUCCUUAGCUGGUCUGAGAGGAUGAUCAGCCACACUGGGACUGAGACACGGCCCAGACUCCUACGGAAAGCAGCAGUGGGGAAUAUUGGACAAUGGGCGAAAGCCUGAUCCAGCAAUGCCGCGUGAGUGAUGAAGGCCUUAGGGUUGUAAAGCUCUUUUACCCGGGAUGAUAAUGACAGUACCGGGAGAAUAAGCUCCGGCUAACUCCGUG